RNAcentral lists this ribosomal RNA (570 nucleotides) under uncultured bacterium. RNAcentral describes it as "bacterial SSU rRNA". It matches the Rfam family "Bacterial small subunit ribosomal RNA", at positions 347 to 916 of the family's 1533-position model. The record is from RNAcentral.
GGCAGCAGUAAGGAAUAUUGGACAAUGGGCGCAAGCCUGAUCCAGCCAUCCCGCGUGUAGGAUGACUGCCCUAUGGGUUGUAAACUACUUUUAGAUAGGAAGAAACCCCUGGAUUUAUCUGGGGCUGACGGUACUAUCAGAAUAAGCACCGGCUAACUCCGUGCCAGCAGCCGCGGUAAUACGGAGGGUGCAAGCGUUAUCCGGAAUCACUGGGUUUAAAGGGUGCGUAGGCUGGUAGAUAAGUCAGAGGUGAAAGCCUUCCGCUUAACGGGAGAAUUGCCUUUGAUACUGUUUAUCUUGAAUGAGGUUGAGGUUAGCGGAAUGUGACAUGUAGCGGUGAAAUGCAUAGAUAUGUCAUAGAACACCAAUUGCGUAGGCAGCUAACUAGGCCUUUAUUGACGCUGAGGCACGAAAGCAUGGGGAGCGAACAGGAUUAGAUACCCUGGUAGUCCAUGCCCUAAACGAUGCUAACUCGAUGUUUGGGUUAUAGACUUGAGCAUCCAAGGGAAACCGUUAAGUUAGCCACCUGGGGAGUACGUCGGCAACGAUGAAACUCAAAUGAAUUGACGG